GCUCAUGUCAGCUAAAUCAUCAAAAUAACGUUGAGGGCGUUUAGCUCUAUUGUUUUACACAACUGAAGAAUUCAACCUUUAACACAAGAUCACGAUUUAAUCAUGCAAGUCCCAAGAGAGAAUCGACAAAGUGGAUAGCUGAGCCCAGAGGUGCGCUGUGUGGAUAUGGAAUUCUACAGAGGAACUCUGUAUGACAACAUUCAGACCCAUAAGAGGCUUGGUCAUCCUUUGUCUGAGAAGCAGGUUAGGGAUGUUCUCACACAACUCUGUGAGAUUCUGGCUCCAAGGGAAACAUGUGGUGUUUUCCU
Long non-coding RNA from Engraulis encrasicolus (European anchovy), 308 nucleotides. RefSeq lists it as uncharacterized. The record is from RefSeq and is a predicted model, not a curated record. The transcript has 4 exons. Lineage: Eukaryota; Metazoa; Chordata; Actinopteri; Clupeiformes; Engraulidae.